Molecule: ribosomal RNA, 501 nt
Filed under: Triticum aestivum (bread wheat)
Lineage: Eukaryota; Viridiplantae; Streptophyta; Magnoliopsida; Poales; Poaceae
Description: partial small subunit ribosomal RNA
Source: RNAcentral
AUGCGGCACUCCUCCCCAAAUCCAGCGGUGGUCCAGGCGUCGCAAACGGUGGCCAGUGACGCCAGAAUGGCCGCCGGCGCCGGCGACCUCCCUCUGGUCCGCGAGCGGCGUUGGGAAGAAGAAGGGAACGACGCCCCCUCCCUGCCAGCUGGUCGUGGGCCCUGCGAGCCCCGCGCGUCAGUGAGCCAGCCACUGGCUCCGUGCCUGCCAGCGUGGAUAGUGGAGACGUAUUCCUCUGGAGUACGUUUUCCUUUCCCAAAGGCGCAUUCCUCUUCUACUUCAGCCCGGAAUACGUUUUCAAUUCAGAGAAAGCGUACUUCCAGAGAGGAGCGUUCUGUUUUUCCGGCUGAGGGUCUGUUUGUGAUGAUUUCAUUACAAAUAGGUCCCUGGCAAAAAAACCUUCAUAUCUUUUUACCCGUAGCUCCAAAUCAGGUGAAUCCAAAGCCCACUUCUUUGUUUCGUCGAGCCCGUUCCGAUGGAAUCAUUUUUACCAGGUUUUGA